Molecule: RNA transcript, 800 nt
Organism: Limulus polyphemus (Atlantic horseshoe crab)
Lineage: Eukaryota; Metazoa; Arthropoda; Merostomata; Xiphosura; Limulidae
Gene name: neurogenic locus notch homolog protein 1-like
Exons: 3
Source: RefSeq, a predicted model, not a curated record
UUUAACUACAACUCGAACACCCAAGGAUGUCAACUGUUGGAGUGGCCCGGUGACGAACUGGAAGCAGCGGCAGAGUUCUCUGUCUAUUUCAUUCAGACAAACUGUAAUAACAAUCCCUGCCAGCAUAAUGGGACCUGUCACGAAAACCUGAACUACAAGAAAGGGUUUAAGUGUGACUGUCCCCGAGGUUAUUGUGGGGAGAGAUGUGAACAAUUUUACUAUGACGUUACCUACGACGCUUGCACCCUUGGAAAAGACUUGAAGGGCGUAGAUGGAAACACCUUAGAAUAUUGUUUAGAGUGGUGUCUAGAAACACCUAACUGUCAUUCAGUAGACUUUGUUCACUCAAUAGCGAGAUGCGUUUUAAAUGAUGACGAUCACACCGAUAUUGGCCUUCAAGAGGGCUGUGCAGGGCAGAGUGAGGCUGCUUAUUACUAUAUAAAAGACGGAUGCGUUAAUUAAACUCUAGAUUUUUUUUAUCCCCACUUCUAAAUAUUUUACAUAAUGCACUAAUAUUACUUAAAUAGAUGCUUAAGAAAACUUAAUCUUUAGAUUGAUAUUUGAAGAUAGCAAUAAAUGAUUGAAUUUAUGCAUGAGGAAAAAUAUGAUUUUUUAUUGACGUAUAGAAGCAAUAAAAGUUCACGUGACUGUUUACGGAAAAAUAAAACUGGAACUUUACAUUUCUAAAAUUAGAAGUUUAAGAAUUUAUCACAUAAGAACCAUUUACACGACAUGAGCCUAUAAAGUCAUAACUAUUAAAGUAAAAUUUAAAUUUUCUUAUACCGAGUCUAGAAAUUGAA